This is a non-coding RNA of Caenorhabditis elegans, 80 nucleotides long. The record is from Ensembl. Lineage: Eukaryota; Metazoa; Nematoda; Chromadorea; Rhabditida; Rhabditidae.
AACGCCGAAGAAGCGUGUCCUCCACCGGUACCACGUCUGUUCAUUCAGAGCAAAGAGCCACUGCUCCGUCUUCUUCCCGU